This is a long non-coding RNA of Beta vulgaris subsp. vulgaris (sugar beet), 376 nucleotides long. RefSeq lists it as uncharacterized. The transcript has 3 exons. The record is from RefSeq and is a predicted model, not a curated record. NCBI's taxonomy places the organism in Eukaryota, Viridiplantae, Streptophyta, Magnoliopsida, Caryophyllales, Amaranthaceae.
CUUCCUCUUGGACACCCACUUUUCUUUACAUAGAACUCUUCUAGACAUCCAUACAAAGUAGUUCAAGCUUUAUUUCCAAUCUUUAGACCAUAAAAUCAUAUAGAAAACCUUGCUGAAAGAUCACAUAAGUUGCUGGGAAGCUGUAGGAGUAGUUAACCAAUUGGAUUAAGGAGUUUCGUGGCUUUAAGGAUCCUUAGUAAAGAGUGAAAUAUUGUUGCAGGUUUGGUGUUGUGAGCUCAGGAUUCUGAAGUGAAGCAAGAUAAAGAUGUCGUCGUAGCUUCUGGAUUGAGUUUGUAUCUAGAUAGUGUAUUUGAGAUUAGAUAUUUAUAUUUCGUUCUCUACAAUAGUUGGGAAUAUUAGUCGAGAUAUCGGUGUA